This 466-nucleotide ribosomal RNA is filed under the name uncultured bacterium. RNAcentral describes it as "partial 16S ribosomal RNA". It matches the Rfam family "Bacterial small subunit ribosomal RNA", at positions 28 to 507 of the family's 1533-position model. The record is from RNAcentral.
GACGAACGCUGGCGGCGCGCCUAACACAUGCAAGUCGAACGAGCGAGAGAGAGCUUGCUUUCUCGAGCGAGUGGCGAACGGGUGAGUAACGCGUGAGGAACCUGCCUCAAAGAGGGGGACAACAGUUGGAAACGACUGCUAAUACCGCAUAAGCCCACGGUGCCGCAUGGCACAGAGGGAAAAGGAGCAAUCCGCUUUGAGAUGGCCUCGCGUCCGAUUAGCUAGUUGGUGAGGUAAUGGCCCACCAAGGCGACGAUCGGUAGCCGGACUGAGAGGUUGAACGGCCACAUUGGGCCUGAGACACGGCCCAGACUCCUACGGGAGGCAGCAGUGGGGAAUAUUGCACAAUGGGGGAAACCCUGAUGCAGCGACGCCGCGUGGAGGAAGAAGGUCUUCGGAUUGUAAACUCCUGUUGUUGGGGAAGAUAAUGACGGUACCCAACAAGGAAGAGACGGCUAACUACGUA